RNAcentral lists this ribosomal RNA (3167 nucleotides) under Parabacteroides sp. OF04-13BH. RNAcentral's name for it is "bacterial LSU rRNA". It matches the Rfam family "Bacterial large subunit ribosomal RNA". Lineage: Bacteria; Pseudomonadati; Bacteroidota; Bacteroidia; Bacteroidales; Tannerellaceae. The record is from RNAcentral.
GAAAGUAAGCAAGGGCAGACGGUGGAUGCCUUGGCUCUCGGAGGCGACGAAGGACGUGAUAAGCUGCGAAAAGCCCGGGGGAGGCGCAAAUAGCCCUUGAUCCCGGGAUAUCCGAAUGGGGCAACCCGGCAGGCUGAAGGCCUGCCAUCCCGUAAGGGAGGCGAACGUGGGGAACUGAAACAUCUAAGUACCCAUAGGAGGAGAAAAUAAACAAUGAUUCCGUAAGUAGUGGCGAGCGAACACGGAAGAGCCCAAACCCAUGUCGUCUAGGCGACACGGGGGUUGUAGGACCACGACGUGGCAAGAGGAUGGCAAGUGGAACGCCUUGGAAAGGGCGACCGUAGAGGGUGAUAGUCCCGUACACGACUGCCUGCCGAAGCCUAGUGGCAUCCUGAGUAGCGCGGGGCACGAGAAAUCUUGCGUGAAACAGCGGGGCCCAUCCCGUAAGGCUAAAUACUCCCGAGAGACCGAUAGCGAACCAGUACCGUGAGGGAAAGGUGAAAAGAACCCCGAGCAGGGGAGUGAAAUAGACCCUGAACCCGUCUGCCUACAAGCGGUCGGAGCAUAGCAAUAUGUGACGGCGUGCCUUUUGCAUAAUGAACCUACGAGUUACCUUCCCCGGCAAGGUUAAGUACCUAAGGUACGGAGCCGAAGCGAAAGCGAGUCUGAAGAGGGCGGCCAGUCGGGGGGGGUAGACGCGAAACCGAGUGAUCUACCCUUGGCCAGGUUGAAGGUUGGGUAACACCAACUGGAGGACCGGAUGGGUAAGCGUUGAAAAGCUUUCCAAUGAGCUGAGGGUAGGGGUGAAAGGCUAAUCAAACUCGGAGAUAGCUCGUACUCCCCGAAAUGCAUUUAGGNNNNNNNNNNGUGACGGCGUGCCUUUUGCAUAAUGAACCUACGAGUUACCUUCCCCGGCAAGGUUAAGUACCUAAGGUACGGAGCCGAAGCGAAAGCGAGUCUGAAGAGGGCGGCCAGUCGGGGGGGGUAGACGCGAAACCGAGUGAUCUACCCUUGGCCAGGUUGAAGGUUGGGUAACACCAACUGGAGGACCGGAUGGGUAAGCGUUGAAAAGCUUUCCAAUGAGCUGAGGGUAGGGGUGAAAGGCUAAUCAAACUCGGAGAUAGCUCGUACUCCCCGAAAUGCAUUUAGGUGCAGCCUCUUUAUAGUAUAUCGUGAGGUAGAGCGACUGAUUGGAUGCGAGGGCUUCACCGCCUAUCAAGUCCAGAUAAACUCCGAAUGCGCGAUAUAUAUUUACAGGGAGUGAGGGCGCGGGUGCUAAGGUCCGUGUCCGAGAGGAGAAGAAUCCAGACCACCGGCUAAGGCCCCCAAAUGAUCGUUGAGUUGAACUAACGAGGUCGGAUCGCAGAGACAGCUAGGAUGUUGGCUUGGAAGCAGCCAUUCAUUUAAAGAGUGCGUAACAGCUCACUAGUCGAGCGAUCUGGCGUGGAUAAUAAUCGGGCAUAAACGAUCUGCCGAAGCCGUGGAUGUCGUAAGACAUGGUAGGGGAGCAUUCCAUGCGGCGUCGAAGAUGAGGGAUGACCCUUGUUGGAGCGCAUGGAAAAGCAAAUGUAGGUAUGAGUAACGAUAAGGGGGGCGAGAAACCCCCCCGCCGAAAGACCAAGGUUUCCUGAUCAACGCUAAUCGGAUCAGGGUGAGUCGGGACCUAAGGCAAAGCCGAACGGCGCCGCCGAUGGAAGAAUGGGUUAAUAUUCCCAUACUGCCUCAUGGAGUGACGUGGAGACGGAGAAGUGACAGUCCUGCCGGCUGACGGAAUAGCCGGUUGAAGGGUGUAGAUAUUGAUUCCCGUAGGCAAAUCCGCGGGGAGAGUCGAACCUGACAGUAUACCGAGUACUUGUACGAGGUAAUAUGGACGUAACCAUGCUCCCAAGAAAAUCCGCUAAACUUAUCCAUGCGGCACCCGUACCGUAAACGGACACACGUGGUCGGGUUGAGAAUACUGAGGCGCUCGAGUGACUCACGGUUAAGGAACUAGGCAAAUUGACCCUGUAACUUCGGGAUAAAGGGUCCUCGUCGUAAGGCGAGGCGCAGAGAAUAGGUCCAGGCAACUGUUUAACAAAAACACAUGGCUAUGCUAAAUGGAAACAUGACGUAUAUAGCCUGACACCUGCCCGGUGCUGGAAGGUUAAGAGGAGAUGUCAUCGCAAGAGAAGCGUUGAAUUGAAGCCCCAGUAAACGGCGGCCGUAACUAUAACGGUCCUAAGGUAGCGAAAUUCCUUGUCGGGUAAGUUCCGACCUGCACGAAUGGUGUAAUGAUCUGGACACUGUCUCAACCGUGAGCUCGGUGAAAUUGUAGUAUCGGUGAAGAUGCCGAUUACCCGCGAUGGGACGAAAAGACCCCGUGAACCUUUACUAUAGCUUUACAUUGAAUUUGGGCAGACGAUGUGUAGGAUAGGCCGGAGGCUUUGAAGGGGGUACGCCAGUAUCCUUGGAGCCGCCGUUGAAAUACGGCCCUUCGGUUGUUUGAGUUCUAACUCCUAGGCAGGAGGACACUGUAUGGUGGGUAGUUUGACUGGGGUGGUCGCCUCCAAAAGCGUAACGGAGGCUUCUAAAGGUGCCCUCAGACCGAUUGGUAACCGGUCGUAGAGUGUAAUGGCAUAAGGGCGCUUGACUGGGAGAGAUACAACUCGAUCAGGUAGGAAACUAGAGCAUAGUGAUCCGGUGGUUCCGCAUGGAAGGGCCAUCGCUCAAAGGAUAAAAGGUACUCCGGGGAUAACAGGCUGAUCAUUCCCAAGAGCUCAUAUCGACGGAAUGGUUUGGCACCUCGAUGUCGGCUCGUCACAUCCUGGGGCUGGAGAAGGUCCCAAGGGUUGGGCUGUUCGCCCAUUAAAGUGGCACGCGAGCUGGGUUCAGAACGUCGUGAGACAGUUCGGUCUCUAUCUAUCGUGGGCGCAGGAGAUUUGAGGGGCUCUGACACUAGUACGAGAGGACCGUGUUGGACGUACCACUGGUUUACCGGUUGUCCCGCCAGGGGCACCGCCGGGUAUCUAAGUACGGAUCGGAUAAGUGCUGAAAGCAUCUAAGUACGAAGCCGGCCUCAAGAUUAGAUCUCCCUGAAGGGUGGUUAUAGACGAUGACCUUGAUAGGCCACAGGUGUAAGGGCGGCGACGUCCGAGCCGAGUGGUACUAAUAGCCCGGGACUUUCCUCA